UACGAGAGGUACAAACGUUAUUCGGAAUCAUUGGGCGUAAAGGGCGCGUAGACGGCAUGUUAAGUCUGUUGUUAAAUCCUCCGGCUUAACCGGAGAUCUGCAACGGAAACUGGCGUGCUAGAGUGUGGGAGAGAGAAGUGGAAUUCUUGGAGUAGCGGUAAAAUGCGUAGAUCUCAAGAGGAACACCGAUGGCGAAGGCAGCUUCUUGGUCCACUACUGACGUUGAGGCGCGAAAGCGUGGGGAGCAAACAGG
Molecule: ribosomal RNA, 253 nt
Filed under: uncultured bacterium
Lineage: Bacteria
Description: partial 16S ribosomal RNA
Rfam family: Bacterial small subunit ribosomal RNA
Source: RNAcentral